UAUACAGCGAAACUGCGAAUGGCUCAUUAUAUAAGUUAUCGUUUAUUUGAUAGUGCCUUACUACUUGGAUAACCGUGGUAAUUCUAGAGCUAAUACAUGCUAAAAACCCCGACUUCGGAAGGGGUGUAUUUAUUAGAUACAAAACCAAUGCCCUUCGGGGCUCUUUGGUGAUUCAUGAUAACUAUACGAAUCGCACGGCCUUGCGCCGGCGAUGGUUCAUUCAAAUUUCUUCCCUAUCAACUUUCGAUGUUUGGGUAUUGGCCAAACAUGGUUGCAACGGGUAACGGAGGGUUAGGGCUCGACCCCGGAGAAGGAGCCUGAGAAACGGCUACUACAUCCAAGGAAGGCAGCAGGCGCGCAAAUUACCCAAUCCCGACUCGGGGAGGUAGUGACAAUAAAUACUGAUACAGGGCCCUUUCGGGCCUUGUAAUUGUCACGCGCACACUUCAAAUCCCUUAACGAGGAACAAUUGGAGGGCAAGUCUGGUGCCAGCAGCCGCGGUAAUUCCAGCUCCAAUAGCGUAUAU
RNAcentral lists this ribosomal RNA (526 nucleotides) under uncultured eukaryote. RNAcentral describes it as "SSU rRNA". It matches the Rfam family "Eukaryotic small subunit ribosomal RNA", at positions 75 to 604 of the family's 1831-position model. The record is from RNAcentral.